UUUUAUGGAGAGUUUGAUCCUGGCUCAGAGUGAACGCUGGCGGCGUGCCUAAUACAUGCAAGUCGAACGAUGAAGCUUUUAGCUUGCUAGAAGUGGAUUAGUGGCGCACGGGUGAGUAAGGUAUAGUUAAUCUGCCCUACACAAGAGGACAACAGUUGGAAACGACUGCUAAUACUCUAUACUCCUGCUUAACACAAGUUGAGUAGGGAAAGUUUUUCGGUGUAGGAUGAGACUAUAUAGUAUCAGCUAGUUGGUAAGGUAAUGGCUUACCAAGGCUAUGACGCUUAACUGGUCUGAGAGGAUGAUCAGUCACACUGGAACUGAGACACGGUCCAGACUCCUACGGGAGGCAGCAGUAGGGAAUAUUGCGCAAUGGGGGAAACCCUGACGCAGCAACGCCGCGUGGAGGAUGACACUUUUCGGAGCGUAAACUCCUUUUCUUAGGGAAGAAUUCUGACGGUACCUAAGGAAUAAGCACCGGCUAACUCCGUGCCAGCAG
This 499-nucleotide ribosomal RNA is filed under the name Salmonella enterica subsp. enterica serovar Enteritidis. RNAcentral's name for it is "bacterial SSU rRNA". It matches the Rfam family "Bacterial small subunit ribosomal RNA", at positions 1 to 514 of the family's 1533-position model. The record is from RNAcentral. Lineage: Bacteria; Pseudomonadati; Pseudomonadota; Gammaproteobacteria; Enterobacterales; Enterobacteriaceae.